This 1734-nucleotide long non-coding RNA is filed under the name Cinara cedri. The record is from RNAcentral. Lineage: Eukaryota; Metazoa; Arthropoda; Insecta; Hemiptera; Aphididae.
CGUGAUGAAAUCUGAUAACUCAGUAAUUCUGUACACAAAACAUUGCACAAAUGCACAUUUAGCGUUUUCGAACCUGCUUUAUUACUUUUGUAGUUUCACUAAGAAUUUGAUUCUGUAUUGAAAUAUUACUUACGCGGAAUUAUCCUGCAUUAUAUUUUAUUUAAAACAAUUUCUGUUUUUCAUUUUUCGAUUAAAAAUGCCCAGCUGUAUUUGUUACAGCUCAAGAAAUGCUAAUUCAAAAAAUGCAAACAUCUCUUUUCAUAAGUAAGUACCAUCAGUAACAAACUAAUAACAGUUAUUUGACUAUGAGCAGCUUUAUUAAUAUGACUUUUACAUUAAAAUAAUAAUACAUUUUUAUUUUAGGUUUUCGGUAAAAAAACAUAUAGGCAAAAUGGUUAAAUUUUGUAAAAAAAAAAAUAGACCAAACAUCACAGAUAUUACUAAAAACAGUUUGAUCUGUUCAACUCAUUUUGACUCUGCAUGUUUUAUUUUUAAUUAAAACAAAUAAAAGUAGUAUUUCAAAACUGCUGUUCCAACUUGUAUUAAGAGUAAACAAUGUAAGUAUUGGUGUUAUGUGCAAUACUAAAAAAUAACUAAACAUUUAGAAUUCUUUUACUGAAUUAUUCAUUUUUAGGCUAAACCAGAUAACUCAGAAUUAAUUAAAUUUGUUCUGCCUGAAGUUUCAAAUUCUAAUGCACAUAGUACAAGUGACAACCGUGUUUGGUUUUAAAUAAUUGUAGUCAAGGUAGAUAAAAAUAUUUUAUUUUUAUUGUUUCACAUAUUUAUAAAUUGUUCUUAUUUCCUUUAAAUAAUAAUUAUUACCUCUUUUAUUUUAGUUACCUCUAUAUGAAUCAAAUGUCGAAGAAACUUUGAAUAUUUCGUUGAUAUCUGUAGAUGCCCAAGACACUUCGAAAAAUGAAAAUGUGUAUGUUUAGAUACCUAUCUAAUUACUGAAAUAUUUUUAAAAAUAUAUAUAAUUUUGUUUCUUACAAAGUUAUAAAAAAUAAAAAUAAAAGUAAUUUAUAAAAAAAACAAAGGACACAUACUUCAGAGGGUAAAUUGACGUUUUGUCCCUGCCUUUCCGCCCCCAUAAGAAAACAAGUCCAAGAACAAGUUUUGUCGUUGAUUUUUUUGACGGGGGUGAAAUGUAUGCGAUUUAUUUUGCAAGUGGUGCUCCUUUUGUAGGUGGGAAGGUAUGAUACAGAUGACAAUUUAAUGUAUAUCUGUAAGCAACGAUAAACCAUUGCUAAUGAAAAAAAAUUCUGAGCGAGGUUCAGUUAAUAAUGUUGUUUUGUCAGCAAUAUAUACAUAUUAUGAUCAAAUAAUGACAACAAUGAGAGGUUUCCUUGACUACAAUGAUUGUUUAAAAAGGGAUUUUCAAUAUAAUAAAACCUUAAUAAUAACAAAAAAAAUGAAUAAAAACGGUUGCCAAUGACAACUUUAUUUUUAAUCUUGCGAUCUUUUUUAACCUAAGAACGAGGUUUUCUUCUGAAUCUUAAAUAUUAAUGAGAAUUUUUAAAAAAAUGACUCCUCUAAAGUACGACCUAGAGAAAAUUUUCUUUCAGAAUAGGUACUAUACUUGAAAAUCAAAGUAUGCUUUAUGGUAGAAAGUGUUCACCUAAAAAAAAUAAUAAUAAUAAAAUAUAUCAUUGAAAAACCAAUACAUUCUUCGCUCCACUUAGAAUCUAAAAAAACAAUCAAUAUAUUAUAUAAUAUAUGAUAAUAAAUACCUGU